RNAcentral lists this ribosomal RNA (307 nucleotides) under uncultured Aquimarina sp. RNAcentral's name for it is "bacterial SSU rRNA". It matches the Rfam family "Bacterial small subunit ribosomal RNA", at positions 28 to 334 of the family's 1533-position model. The record is from RNAcentral. Lineage: Bacteria; Pseudomonadati; Bacteroidota; Flavobacteriia; Flavobacteriales; Flavobacteriaceae.
GAUGAACGCUAGCGGCAGGCUUAACACAUGCAAGUCGAGGGGUAACAGGUAGCUUGCUAUGCUGACGACCGGCGCACGGGUGCGUAACGCGUAUAGAACCUACCUUAUAGUAAGGGAUAGCCCAGAGAAAUUUGGAUUAAUACCUUAUAGUAUUAUUGAAUGGCAUCGUUUAAUAAUUAAAGAUUUAUUGCUAUAAGAUGGCUAUGCGUUCUAUUAGCUAGUUGGUAUGGUAACGGCAUACCAAGGCUACGAUAGAUAGGGGUCCUGAGAGGGAGAUCCCCCACACUGGUACUGAGACACGGACCAG